GACGAACGCUGGCGGCGUGCUUAACACAUGCAAGUCGAACGAUGAAGAAGAGAAACGCGAACUUCGGUUCAAAUUUCACUUCGGAUUAGUGGCAGACGGGUGAGUAACGCGUGAGCAACCUACCUCUUACAAAGGGAUAGCCUCGGGAAACCGUGAUUAAUACCAUAUGACACAUUCAUAAGGCAUCUUAAGAAUGUUAAAGCUACGGCGGUAAGAGAUGGGCUCGCGUCCCAUUAGCUAGUUGGUGAGGUAACGGCCCACCAAGGCGACGAUGUGUAACCGGCCUGAGAGGGUGAACGGUCACAUUGGAACUGAGACACGGUCCAAACUCCUACGGGAGGCAGCAGUGGGGAAUAUUGCACAAUGGAGGGAACUCUGAUGCAGCGACGCCGCGUGAGCGAUGAAGGAAUUCGUUUCGUAAAGCUCUGUUCUAUGGGAAGAAAAGGACUGUACCAUAGGAGAAAGCCCCGGCUAAAUACGUG
RNAcentral lists this ribosomal RNA (482 nucleotides) under uncultured bacterium. RNAcentral describes it as "partial 16S ribosomal RNA". It matches the Rfam family "Bacterial small subunit ribosomal RNA", at positions 28 to 507 of the family's 1533-position model. The record is from RNAcentral.